AGGCGGCCCCGGCCGCGGAGCUCCGCCGAGCAGCUCAGCUCCACCUGCGCCGCCGCUGCCGCCCCGGAACCGGGCGGGGAGGAGGGGCCCGGCCCGGGCUCGUUGGCUGCGGGCGGCACCGCCCCGCGGCACAGACCCAAUAGCGCCGCUGCCGCCGCCGGGCCGGACGGGAGCGGAACCGGAGCCGGAGCCAACCGAACGGGAACUGAACGAGAACUGAACGAAACCGAACGGAGCCCAACGUGAACCGAACCGGAACCGAGCGUGGAUCGAACGGAGCGGACUGGACUCGCGGCCGCCGGCAUGGCCUCGCCCGAGGAGGUGUUGGUGCUGGUCCUGGUGAGGGAUUUAACAUCAACAUAGCCUGGACUGGAGGCCUCGACCCCCCCAUGGGUGACCCUGAGUAUCUGGCUGCUUUCAGGCUGAAAACAAAUCCCGGGAGGCAAAGAGAGCAGAAAGGCCAUCGAGGGGCAUCACGCGGCAUCUCCACGCCCAAAGGGGAUCCCUGGAUCCUGGAUUUCUCUCCCACCCUGCUGCCUUCCCAAGCUCCUCUUUCACCAUCCCCCCCGGGCUCGGCUCGCUUAGCCCCGAGACUGCUCGGGAAGCUUUCUCCUCCCUCAGCCUUGCUCCCAGCUGGGGCCUGGUUGCGGCAGAUUCCUUCUGCCCCCGGCUCAGGAUGCGUCCCACCUUUGCCAGGUCUCGCCGCAGCGCUCGGGAGGGCAGCCCCCAGAUGCAGGUUGCCAAAGCCACCGCCGGGCACGGCUGGCCGAAGGGGACAGCACCCGGCGGGGAGAGGGGCAGCGAACAUCUUCCUCGGGCAACAAUCCGGGUGGGUCUGGAGAGCUCGGAUGCCCACAGCAUCUCCUCCUUGUGCCAGCCCAUGCUCUCCGCAGCCCGAGAAGAGCGCCCCGGGCUGCGGGCACCACCCCGAGCAGCCAGCGCCGAAGGCUCCGGUCCGCCGCCGGCGGUGCGCGGAGAGCCCCGAGCCGACAGCUCACUCACCCUGGCUCUGUCCUUGCAUCCA
Molecule: long non-coding RNA, 1024 nt
Organism: Pogoniulus pusillus (Red-fronted tinkerbird)
Lineage: Eukaryota; Metazoa; Chordata; Aves; Piciformes; Lybiidae
Exons: 3
Source: RefSeq, a predicted model, not a curated record